This 414-nucleotide ribosomal RNA is filed under the name uncultured microorganism. RNAcentral's name for it is "bacterial SSU rRNA". It matches the Rfam family "Archaeal small subunit ribosomal RNA", at positions 459 to 872 of the family's 1478-position model. The record is from RNAcentral.
CAGCAGCCGCGGUAAUACCGGCGGCCCGAGUGGCGGUCACUAUUAUUGGGCUUAAAACGUCCGUAGCCGGGUUGGGAAGUCCUCCGGGAAAUCUGGCCGCUUAACGGUCAGAAUGCCGGAGGAUACUCCCAGCCUAGGGAGCGGGGGAGGCCGAGGGGAUUCCCGGAGUAGGGGUGAAAUCCUAUAAUCCCGGGAGGACCACCUGUGGCGAAGGCGCUCGGCUGGAACGCGUCCGACGGUGAGGGACGAAGGCCAGGGGAGCAAACCGGAUUAGAUACCCGGGUAGUCCUGGCUGUAAACGAUGCGGACUUUGUGUCGGACAAGCUAUGAGCUUGUCCGGUGCCGGAGGGAAACCGUUAAGUCCGCCGCCUGGGGAGUACGGCCGCAAGGCUGAAACUUAAAGGAAUUGGCGGG